UUCUGGCUCAGGAUGAACGCUAGCUACAGGCUUAACACAUGCAAGUCGAGGGCAGCGGAAGUUAGCUUGCUAACUUGCCGGCGACCGGCGCACGGGUGAGUAACGCGUAUCCAACCUUCCCCUUAGUAGGGCAUAGCCCGGCGAAAGUCGGAUUAAUACCCUAUGUUUUCCAAUGAGGACAUCUGAGCUGGAAUAAAGAUUCAUCGCUAAGGGAUGGGGAUGCGUCCGAUUAGCUUGCCGGCGGGGUAACGGCCCACCGGGGCGACGAUCGGUAGGGUUCUGAGAGGAAGGUCCCCCACACUGGUACUGAGACACGGACCAGACUCCUACGGGAGGCAGCAGUGAGGAAUAUUGGUCAAUGGGCGCGAGCCUGAACCAGCCAAGUAGCCGUGCAGGAUGACGGCCCUAUGGGUUGUAAACUGCUUUUUAUAGGGGAAUAAAGUUUCCUACGUGUAGGAUUUUGUAUGUACCCUGUGAAUAAGGACCGGCUAAUUCCGUGCCAGCAGCCGC
RNAcentral lists this ribosomal RNA (510 nucleotides) under uncultured bacterium. RNAcentral describes it as "bacterial SSU rRNA". It matches the Rfam family "Bacterial small subunit ribosomal RNA", at positions 17 to 518 of the family's 1533-position model. The record is from RNAcentral.